Molecule: ribosomal RNA, 508 nt
Filed under: uncultured Glomus
Lineage: Eukaryota; Fungi; Glomeromycota; Glomeromycetes; Glomerales; Glomeraceae
Description: SSU rRNA
Rfam family: Eukaryotic small subunit ribosomal RNA
Source: RNAcentral
AGCAGCCGCGGUAAUUCCAGCUCCAAUAGCGUAUAUUAAAGUUGUUGCAGUUAAAAAGCUCGUAGUUGAAUUUCGGGGUCAGCAGGUUGGUCGUGCCAAUGGUAUGAACUGGCCUUGCUGAUUCCUCCCUCUUGAUGAGCCGUAAUGCCAUUAAUUUGGUGUUGCGGGGAAUCAGGACUGUUACUUUGAAAAAAUUAGAGUGUUUAAAGCAGGCAAGCGCUUGAAUACAUUAGCAUGGAAUAAUGAAAUAGGACGUUCGAUCCUAUUUUGUUGGUUUCUAGGAUUGACGUAAUGAUUAAUAGGGAUAGUUGGGGGCAUUAGUAUUCAAUUGUCAGAGGUGAAAUUCUUGGAUUUAUUGAAGACUAACUACUGCGAAAGCAUUUGCCAAGGAUGUUUUCAUUAAUCAAGAACGAAAGUUAGGGGAUCGAAGACGAUCAGAUACCGUCGUAGUCUUAACCAUAAACUAUGCCGACUAGGGAUCGGAUGAUGUUAAUUUUUUAAUGACUCU